Molecule: unclassified non-coding RNA, 605 nt
Filed under: uncultured fungus
Lineage: Eukaryota; Fungi
Description: sequence contains 18S rRNA gene, ITS1, 5.8S rRNA gene, ITS2, 28S rRNA gene
Source: RNAcentral
GGCGCGAUGCGGUGCGAUGCGUGCGUCACGCGCUCGCAAUCUCGGCCCUCCCGCCGCAUCUUCCGGCGCUGGUCACCCGAGUCCCGCCCCCUCUCUCCGGAGUCGUAAUUGUCACGCCCCCUGCUUCACUGGACGCGAGUCGCCGCGAUCACUAUGCUCGCGACAUCGCUCAUGGCGCCGCGCACCACUCGCGCGCAGGAUGCCAUCGCCCGGGAUCCGGAUGUCGUCGGCGCUGAACGCCUCUUCUCGGCGUGGAUGGAAGGCCAGAUCGCGUACCGGGGAUUGCCCGGCAUUGCCGUGGGCGUGGUGUACGACCAGCAACUCGUCUGGUCGACGGGCUACGGCUUUGCGGAUCUGGCGCGCAAGGUGCCGAUGACUGCGCAGACGAAGUUCCGCAUGGCCUCGCACAGCAAGAUGUUCGCCGCCAUCGCCAUCAUGCAGCUCCGCGAACAGGGCAAGCUCCGGCUCGACGAUCCGGUCGAGAAGCACCUCCCGUGGUUCCACGCGCAGCCGGCAACGCCCGACGACGGCCCCAUCACGAUCGAGCAUCUGCUCUCCCACGAGUCGGGCUUGCAGCGCGAAGCCGGUGAUCACUGGUCGAGCAA